This 72-nucleotide transfer RNA is filed under the name Camelus bactrianus (Bactrian camel). It matches the Rfam family "tRNA". Rfam says of the family: Transfer RNA (tRNA) molecules are approximately 80 nucleotides in length. Their secondary structure includes four short double-helical elements and three loops (D, anti-codon, and T loops). The record is from Rfam by way of RNAcentral. RNAcentral also lists the same sequence under 2 other names. Lineage: Eukaryota; Metazoa; Chordata; Mammalia; Artiodactyla; Camelidae.
GGGGGUAUAGCUCAGUGGUAGAGUGCAUGCCUAGCAUGCAGGAGGUCCUGGGUUCAAUCUCCAGUACCUCCA